RNAcentral lists this ribosomal RNA (415 nucleotides) under uncultured Detonula. Its description in RNAcentral is "partial 18S ribosomal RNA". It matches the Rfam family "Eukaryotic small subunit ribosomal RNA", at positions 140 to 565 of the family's 1831-position model. The record is from RNAcentral. Lineage: Eukaryota; Bacillariophyta; Thalassiosirophyceae; Thalassiosirales; Thalassiosiraceae.
GGGAAACCGGGGGUUUUUAGGGUAAAACAGCCCCAAACCCCCCUUUUUGGGGGAGGGGUGGUUUUUUUUGGUAAACCCCACCCUUUUGGGAGGGGUUUGGGGUUUCAAAAAAAUUUUUGGAUUGCCCGCUCCCAUCCGGGGAUGGUUCAUUCAGUUUCUGCCCUAUCAGCUUUGGAUGGAAGGGUAUUUGACUACAUGCUUUACGGGGAAACGAAUUGUUAGGGCAAGAUUUCGGAGAGGGAGCCUGAGAGACGGCUACCACAUCCCAGGGAAGGCAGCAGGCGCGUAAAUUACCCAAUCCUGACACAGGGAGGUAGUGACAAUAAAUAACAAUGCCGGGCCUUUACAGGUCUGGCAAUUGGAAUGAGAACAAUUUAAAUCCCUUAUCGAGUAUCAAUUGGAGGGCAAGUCUGGU